GAUGAACGCUAGCGGCAGGCCUAAUUACAUGCAAGUCGAACGGCAAGAGUUUUAGCAAUAGAACUCCUAGAGUGGCGAACGGGUGCGUAAACGUGUAUGCAACCUACCCUAUACAGGGGGAUAGCCCGGAGAAAUCUGGAUUAAUACCCCAUGGUACUAAGUUGAGGCAUUUUUGAUUUAGUUAAAGAUUAAUCGGUAUAGGAUGGGCAUGCGUCUGAUUAGCUAGUUGGCGGUGUAACGGACCACCAAGGCGACGAUCAGUAGGGGUUCUGAGAGGAAGGUCCCCCACACUGGCACUGAGAUACGGGCCAGACUCCUACGGGAGGCAGCAGUAGGGAAUAUUGGGCAAUGGACGAGAGUCUGACCCAGCCAUGCCGCGUGCAGGAAGACGGCGUUCUGCGUUGUAAACUGCUUUUAUCUGGGAAGAAAAGUCCAUGCGUGGAAAAUUGCCGGUACCAGAUGAAUAAGCACCGGCUAAACUCCGUGCCAGCAGCCGCCGCAGUAA
Molecule: ribosomal RNA, 505 nt
Filed under: uncultured bacterium
Lineage: Bacteria
Description: bacterial SSU rRNA
Rfam family: Bacterial small subunit ribosomal RNA
Source: RNAcentral